Long non-coding RNA from Andrographis paniculata, 264 nucleotides. RefSeq lists it as uncharacterized. The record is from RefSeq and is a predicted model, not a curated record. The transcript has 3 exons. NCBI's taxonomy places the organism in Eukaryota, Viridiplantae, Streptophyta, Magnoliopsida, Lamiales, Acanthaceae.
AAAAAGACACAUGCAAACCGUUAGUUGAAAACCGUCAGUUUGUGGAAACUCUGGACACAAUGUUAGAAAAUGUCCACAGUCAGUUGAAAACCGUCGGCUUGAAGAAUCAUCACCACUGGUGGCUGGACAAGACCCUACGACAACAUCGGUACAACAUAGGCCACGACGGAUGUCUACGCGAAUUCAAAAAGCUCCAGCAAAGAAUGCCGCCAGAUCAAGCACCACUGUUCCAGUUAGUCAACCUGAGGUAAUUCCCAUACAAGA